CUAAAGUGUAUGGCUUGGUGAUGUUGAGUUAUUUCCUAAUUUAUUUGACCCACGACUUGUGGUUGACGUCUUUGUCUAUAUGGCUGAACUAAACAAUGCAUCUUCGUUAAGCGUUACCAGCCAAACCUGAGUGGUCAGAGCGGACAAAUCGAAACGUAGUUAGUUACA
Rhinichthys klamathensis goyatoka is the source of this 168-nucleotide long non-coding RNA. RefSeq lists it as uncharacterized. Lineage: Eukaryota; Metazoa; Chordata; Actinopteri; Cypriniformes; Leuciscidae. The record is from RefSeq and is a predicted model, not a curated record. The transcript is spliced from 2 exons.